This 460-nucleotide ribosomal RNA is filed under the name uncultured bacterium. RNAcentral describes it as "partial 16S ribosomal RNA". It matches the Rfam family "Bacterial small subunit ribosomal RNA", at positions 338 to 795 of the family's 1533-position model. The record is from RNAcentral.
CCUACGGGUGGCAGCAGUGAGGAAUAUUGGUCAAUGGACGCAAGUCUGAACCAGCCAUGCCGCGUGCAGGAUGACGGCUCUAUGAGUUGUAAACUGCUUUUGUACGAGAGUAAACCUAGAUACGUGUAUCGGGUUGCAAGUAUCCUACGAAUAAGCAUCGGCUAACUCCGUGCCAGCAGCCGCGGUAAUACGGAGGAUCCGAGCGUUAUCCGGAUUUAUUGGGUUUAAAGGGUGCGUAGGCGGUUUGAUAAGUUAGAGGUGAAAUGUUGGGGCUCAACCCCGAAAUUGCCUCUAAUACUGGUAGACUAGAGAGUGGUUGAGGUAGGCGGAAUGUGUGGUGUAGCGGUGAAAUGCAUAGAGAUCAUGCAGAACACCGAUUGCGAAGGCAGCUUACCAAGCUAUAUCUGACGUUGAGGCACGAAAGCGUGGGUAGCAAACAGGAUUAGAUACCCGAGUAGUC